CAAGGAUCUGACAACACUCCGUUUUACUUUCUGUCCUGGUAGUUUUUACAUCAGCUAAUAAAAAUUUAAGCUUUCAAAUUUUAAAAGUGUGUAUUAAUCCGACAAAUUAAGAGAACCUCAAAAGAUCUUUAAACAGAAAGUAAAAUUGAGCGUUUUCAGAUCCUUAUAAGCAACGUAUCGACACAUUUUAUAUGAUCUUUAGGGACGGACCAUUUAACUUGCAGAGGGGGAGGCAUGCGCGCAUUUUAUUUUUAUUUUUGGGAAGUGGCGCGACAAAUUAUUUUUUUCAAAUUUAACAUUAUUUUUUAUGGUAAAUAUCCUCUGUCAAAAUUUUUUUUUCUCCCUUUGCUGGCCAAAUUAUUUAUUUUCUCUAUUCAGAAUCAACAUAUUUAUUUACGAAAAAAAACAUUAAAUCAAUUUUCAAUAAGGCUCUCUAUAGACACAAUAUUAACAACAUGAAUAAACAUAAUCUACUACUACGGGUUUUUUUUAACGACCUUGACAAAAGCCCUUGCACGGUUGAUAUAAACCAAAUCAAUCUAGCAAUACACAAUGAUGAAUAAUAGUAUAAAUAUUAAAUUACAUAAACAAAUACAUGAACAAAACGGAUUACAUGAUAG
RNAcentral lists this long non-coding RNA (620 nucleotides) under Mytilus galloprovincialis (Mediterranean mussel). Lineage: Eukaryota; Metazoa; Mollusca; Bivalvia; Mytilida; Mytilidae. The record is from RNAcentral.